This 253-nucleotide ribosomal RNA is filed under the name uncultured bacterium. Its description in RNAcentral is "partial 16S ribosomal RNA". It matches the Rfam family "Bacterial small subunit ribosomal RNA", at positions 524 to 776 of the family's 1533-position model. The record is from RNAcentral.
UACGUAGGUGGCAAGCGUUGUCCGGAUUUACUGGGCGUAAAGAGCGCGCAGGCGGUCGAUUAAGUCGAAUGUGAAAGCCCCCGGCUCAACUGGGGAGGGUCAUUCGAUACUGAUCGACUUGAAGGCAGGAGAGGGAAGUGGAAUUCCGGGUGUAGUGGUGAAAUGCGUAGAUAUCCGGAGGAACACCAGUGGCGAAGGCGACUUCCUGGCCUGUUCUUGACGCUGAGGCGCGAAAGCUGGGGGAGCAAACGGG